UGAAGCCUAGCUUGCUGGGUGGAUUAGUGGCGAACGGGUGAGUAACACGUGAGUAACCUGCCCUUGACUCUGGGAUAAGCCUGGGAAACUGGGUCUAAUACCGGAUACGACCAUUGCCCGCAUGGGUUGGUGGUGGAAAGCUUUUGUGGUUUUGGAUGGACUCGCGGCCUAUCAGCUUGUUGGUGAGGUAAUGGCUCACCAAGGCGACGACGGGUAGCCGGCCUGAGAGGGUGACCGGCCACACUGGGACUGAGACACGGCCCAGACUCCUACGGGAGGCAGCAGUGGGGAAUAUUGCACAAUGGGCGAAAGCCUGAUGCAGCGACGCCGCGUGAGGGAUGACGGCCUUCGGGUUGUAAACCUCUUUCAGUAGGGAAGAAGCGAAAGUGACGGUACCUGCAGAAGAAGCGCCGGCUAACUACGUGCCAGCAGCCGCGGUAAUACGUAGGGCGCAAGCGUUAUCCGGAAUUAUUGGGCGUAAAGAGCUCGUAGGCGGUUUGUCGCGUCUGCUGUGAAAGGCCAGGGCUCAACCCUGGUUCUGCAGUGGGUACGGGCAGACUUGAGUGAUGUAGGGGAGACUGGAAUUCCUGGUGUAGCGGUGAAAUGCGCAGAUAUCAGGAGGAACACCGAUGGCGAAGGCAGGUCUCUGGGCAUUAACUGACGCUGAGGAGCGAAAGCAUGGGGAGCGAACAGGAUUAGAUACCCUGGUAGUCCAUGCCGUAAACGUUGGGCACUAGGUGUGGGGGACA
RNAcentral lists this ribosomal RNA (749 nucleotides) under Arthrobacter woluwensis. RNAcentral's name for it is "bacterial SSU rRNA". It matches the Rfam family "Bacterial small subunit ribosomal RNA", at positions 70 to 831 of the family's 1533-position model. The record is from RNAcentral. Lineage: Bacteria; Bacillati; Actinomycetota; Actinomycetes; Micrococcales; Micrococcaceae.